RNAcentral lists this transfer RNA (84 nucleotides) under Bacteroidales bacterium. Its description in RNAcentral is "tRNA-Leu". It matches the Rfam family "tRNA". Rfam says of the family: Transfer RNA (tRNA) molecules are approximately 80 nucleotides in length. Their secondary structure includes four short double-helical elements and three loops (D, anti-codon, and T loops). Lineage: Bacteria; Pseudomonadati; Bacteroidota; Bacteroidia; Bacteroidales. The record is from RNAcentral.
GCCCAGGUGGUGGAAUUGGUAGACACGCUACUUUGAGGUGGUAGUGGGAGAAAUCCUGUGCAAGUUCGACUCUUGUCCUGGGCA